RNAcentral lists this ribosomal RNA (328 nucleotides) under uncultured eukaryote. Its description in RNAcentral is "partial 18S ribosomal RNA". It matches the Rfam family "Eukaryotic small subunit ribosomal RNA", at positions 1470 to 1796 of the family's 1831-position model. The record is from RNAcentral.
CCCUUAGAUGUCCUGGGCCGCACGCGCGUUACACUGAUGCAUUCAACGAGCUUAUAACCUUGACCGAGAGGCCUGGGCAAUCUUGUUAACGUGCAUCGUGAUAGGGAUAGAUUAUUGAAAUUAUUAAUCUUGAACGAGGAAUUCCUAGUAAACGCAGAUCAUCAAUCUGCAUUGAUUACGUCCCUGCCCUUUGUACACACCGCCCGUCGCACCUACCGAUUGGAUGGUCCGGUGAAGCCUCGGGAUUGUGGUUCUUGCCGCUUUAUUGUAGCGUGACCGCGAGAACUUGUCUAAACCUUAUCAUCUAGAGGAAGGUGAAGUCGUAACA